Brassica napus (rape) is the source of this 3330-nucleotide RNA transcript. It is a transcript of the gene named trimethylguanosine synthase-like, with no coding region annotated. The transcript has 10 exons. The record is from RefSeq and is a predicted model, not a curated record. NCBI's taxonomy places the organism in Eukaryota, Viridiplantae, Streptophyta, Magnoliopsida, Brassicales, Brassicaceae.
UAUUUUCAAACCAGUGGAGAAUCAAUCAAGUUUUAAACAAAUUAUUAUCAUACCCGAAUAUUUCAGGUUACAGGGCAGGGGCGUCCUGAAAUGUUGGAGGCCAUCUACCCUCUCUCUUGCUGGGACAUCGCAUGAAGAAGUUGAGUUAGGCGUUUACUCUAAUAUUUCACUCACACUAGUUAGUGACAUAACAAGAGAUCAAUGACUAUCGACGAGCAAUCGCACUUGAAGAAAGAGGAAGAAAAUGGUACGAAUCCUAAGAUCAAUAGGUACUGGAUUCAACGUUACGAUCUGUUCUCGAGGUAUGACGAAGGUAUCCAAAUAGAUGAAGAAGGAUGGUACUCUGUGACUCAUGAAGAGAUCGCCAUCAAACACGCAGAGAGGUGCCGUGGAAAAGUGGUGAUUGAUUGCUUCGCAGGCGUUGGUGGUAACACUAUUCAAUUUGCUAAAGUUUCUUCUUCUGUAAUCGCUAUCGACAUUGAUCCAAUGAAAGUUCAAAUGGCUAUGAACAAUGCAAACGUCUAUGGAGUUGCUAAUCAUGUGGAUUUUGUCGUUGGUGAUUUCUUCAGUUUAGCUCCAUCUCUCAAAGGAGAUGUAUCGUUUCUUUCUCCACCAUGGGGAGGACCAAAUUAUUGCAAAGUCGAGAGUUUCAAGAUGGAUAUGCUUCAGCCAAGAGACGGGUACUCAUUGUUUAAGAUUGUUCAGUCCAUUACUCCUAAUAUCAUCAUGUAUCUACCGAAAAAUGUUGAUUUAGCACAGUUGGAAGAACUGGCUUCCCUCUCGUCACCUCCCCUAACUCUUGAGAUAGAAGAAAGUUGUAUUGGAGGCAAAAUGAUAGCCAUAACGGCUUAUUUUAGUCGCAAUGCAAUUUGAACUUGCAUCAAAAAGGAACUAUCUUUUCUGCAGCAGGGGAUAGAGGAAUUGACUCCUGAAGGAGUUAAUACAAUUUCUUGAAGAGAAUUUUUGAAAUAAAUAGUUAUGAUUAUUGUUCCAAGGAUACAGAAUUCUCAUUUCAUCUUUCCACUUUAUGCAGGAUUCUAUCACAUGGAUAUUUGAUACAAAUUCAAUGCAUCAUUCGUAGAAAAUAAAGAAUUCACUCUCCUUUCCCGUUAGUUUAUUCGGUUAGACUCCGUUGAUAUCGACUGUAAAAAAGCCGAGCACUGAUGAGUGAUGACAAAAUUUAUGGUACAAACAAACAAACCCAUUUGAAAAGUUCAAAAGCCCUACCCGCUCCCUUGCAGACAACCUAAUCUCAAUCUUGUUUUCACUGGUAUCCGACCGCUGUGUCGGUGCCGAUGUGACCUCUUUCUCUUUACUAUUGUGUAUUGCUUUGGUUUUUCUCUGGAGACUCUUCUCCAUCUCAUGUCUACAUGUUUGCUUGCUCUGUUGUCUCGGUGACAACGUCUCUGUUCGGAAUGGAGACGUUCGAAGGGCAGGUAGUGGAGUAACGACAAGACAUGUGUGAAGUCGUUGGCAGCUCCAGAUCUUUGUCUUUUUUUGCUCACUGGAUUUGGAGUGUGUAGAUCCAUCCGGCUUUCGUUCUCAUUGGUUGGUUUGGAUCAAUUACCAGUACUUGCUUCAAAGGCCUUGUUGAUUUGUUUACUAUCGAAUCACCUCUCGGUCGUGGAUUUGGCGAGUAAGAGAAGCUUUGUUCUUCGGUUCUCGUUGACGAAUCGCGUAUUAAUCACCGGCUCUGUUGGACCAUCCCAGCAUCAUCGUUUGGGCUGUGUCCUUCUCGUUGAUGGGUCAAAAUCUUUUGCUUCUCUUUCGCAGGCGACGUCUCAGAACGAGCUUUCCUCCCAAAUCCCUCUCCACUCCUCCAAGGACAUCUUCUUCCGGUCCGUCAUCUUCUGAGGCAGUUCCGAACUCUCAGUCAUCCCAGAGAGUUUCUCGGAGUCAUCCUCCUCCUGCAUCUCAUAUGCCUCCACUUCCUCCUUCUCCAGCCGCUGCACCUCAGCCUGUCCCAGCAGGUGUGCCUCCAUCUGCCCCAUACGCAGGAUAUACAGUGGAGUAUUUUCUCACCCAGCCUGGACGAGAGGGCUUGGAUUUUCUUGAUCCCAACAGACCGCGGGAAACUUAUUAUUUUUAGUACAUUAAAAUUUUACUUAUUUUUUUUAACAAUUAGGUUCUCUUUUUAGUUUUGGGGCCAACAACCGUGUUGACUGGAGCGUGUCAAAGACGAUAAAGGGCUACUACGACGGAGCCUACCCGAAUUGGAGCAAGAAUCCAGACCACGUUAAGACGACUUGGUUUAAAUGAUUUGCGGGAAUUUUUUUUUAAAAAUCUAAUUAAAUAUUUAUAUCAAAUUAAAUAUUUAUUUUAUUUUUUUCAAAAUUUUGUUUGUUUCAGAAAAGGUGGCACUGGCCCUUGGGAAUCAACAAGAGGGUGAAGAGGGAAUUCGUUGCAAAGGCAAAGACCCGCCUUUGCAACACUGUCUCCGAUUGGAAGGACAAGUGGGAGAUCUACGGUUAUGACCGUAAGCCCACCGAGCUCACGAAGGAAGUAUGGGAUGAUCUCAUCGCCUUUUGGACUCUUCGAUCCGUAAGGCCAACUCGUGCUCCGCUUCCCGUAGAACGAAGGACAAAGAUGGUCAUUUGCCCAUGGUUCACUGAACCAAACAAAAGCCUCAGCCGGAAUCCGUCUAGAAGCUGGAAAUUGUUUCUAAUAUUUAUUUUAAAUUUUUUUUAAUUAAUUUAAAUUUUAAUUUUUUUUUUUUUGGUAGUAUGAGAAGAUGGAAGUCUUACCAUCUCUGUCUGAUCUAUUACAGAUGACUCACGCCACAUCAGACAUGAUUUUUGUGGAUCCGACAUCCGAGAAACUCUUCAACGCAGUGGCUUCUCGGGUUGAAGAGCGGGAGAUGCAAUUAAUCCAGCAGUCUUCUGGUGGAUUACCCGUCAAACUGACCACCGAAGAGGUCGACAUGAUUUUUGAAGAGGUGGCUCCUAGAAGAAAUAACAGACAGUGGGUAUAGGUUUUGUUAACGAAGUUGCUAAGGCAACUUCGUCAUAUGCUUCGAGACGGGAUGAAGAGAACUCUCAGAUGAGAGCUCAGAUGGAUAGCCAGCAGGAUCGUUUAGACUCUCUUGAAGAUCUGUUGGACGUGAUGGCGGUGGGAAACCCGACUAUGAAGAUAGCACUAAAUGAGAGACGAGCAGCUGUCGGGAUGCCAAUAAGGAAUCCCGAAGAUGCCGAUCCAGACCGUUCUCAACCGAGCACCGACACCGACUACUUCGAUAAUAUGUAGUAGUUUUUUUUUUCAUUUUGUAUUAUGAAUUUAAAUAUUAUGUUAUGACUUUUAAAUAGUUUUUAAUAAUAUGUUUUGAUUUUCACA